AUUUAAGAUUCAAUCAUAUGUAAUUUGUAUCUCACAAUCACAACUCCUUGUGAUUAACAAAUUAUCAAGAUUUGAAUCUACGGACUCUAUUAUUUAAUUUAAUUAUAUAUUAAUUAAAUAGAUUUGCUAUACAAUGUAUCAAUUAUAUAUUAAAAGUAUUUAUGUCCAAAGUUGAUUGGACUUAUGACAUAACACUUACAUCUUUAUCACACCACUCACUUAUGUCUUACUACAAAAUUAAAAGAUAUAGCUUGGUUAUGACACUUUCGCUAUGGCCAUCUCAAUUCUGGUGGAUUGAAGACCUUGUAGCAGAAAAAUAUAGUGGUAGGUCUUCCAAAAUUUGAGACUCCUUUAGAGUUGUGUGAAGAGUGUAUUAUUAGUAAACAACAUCGAGAUGUCUUCUCAAAAGGGAAGUCUUGGAGGUCAAAGAAAAUGUUAGAACUAGUGCAUUUUGACUUGUGUGGGCCAAUCAAUCCAAUAUCAAAUGGUGGUAAAUGAUAUUUUCAGUCAUUUAUUGAUGAUUUUAGUCGAAAAACUAGGGUUUAUUUUUUGCAAGAAAAAUCAGAUGCUUUCACUAUUUUUCAAAAAUUUAAAGCGCUAGUUGAAAAUGAAGUUGGAACAUCAAUCAAAAUAUUUCGCAUAGAUCGUGCUGGAGAAUAUAACUGAAAAAAAUUGGUGAAUUUUGUGAUAAACAUGGAAUUAGAAGGUAGCUAACUGCAACUUAUACACCUCAACAAAAUGGUGUUUGUAAGAGGAAAAAUCGCACUAUUUUGAACAUGGUGCGAAGGCUUUGCAGAGGAUUGGAGUUCCAAAAAGAUUUUGGGCUGAAGCGGUUAAUUAGAGUGUUUAUAUUUUGAAUAGGAGCCCCAGACUACUUGUUCAACAUAUAACUCCUGAAGAAACAUGGAGUGGGCAUCGACCAACUGUUGAUCAUUUUCGGGUUUUUGGGUGUAUAGCAUAUGCACAUGUUCCAAAUGAAAAAAAGAAGAAAGUUAGAUGACAAAGGUGAAAAAUGUAUUUUUCUUGGUGUUAGUGAUUAUUCAAAGGCUCAUAAAUUGUAUAAUCCUAUCAUAAAGAAAAUAAUCAUUAGUCAUGACGUAGUUUUUGAUGAAGAAAAAACAUGGUUAUGGAGUAGCAACACUGAUGGACAGUAUGUUCCAGGACAUUUGAGAGAAAAAAUGAGGAGGAAACUAAGCAACAAGCUCUAGCAAUCCUUGUUUCUAAGAAGGAACCUCUCGUAAAUUCUGAAAUUUCACCAGUAGAGGUUGAUGCUAUA
Molecule: long non-coding RNA, 1276 nt
Filed under: Olea europaea subsp. europaea
Lineage: Eukaryota; Viridiplantae; Streptophyta; Magnoliopsida; Lamiales; Oleaceae
Source: RNAcentral